UGGGGAAUAUUGCACAAUGGGCGCAAGCCUGAUGCAGCCAUGCCGCGUGUAUGAAGAAGGCCUUCGGGUUGUAAAGUACUUUCAGCGGGGAGGAGGGGAGUAAAGUUAAUACCUUUGCUCAUUGACGUUACCCGCAGAAGAAGCACCGUCUAACGCCGUGCCAGCAGCCGCGGUAAUACGGAGGGUGCAAGCGUGAAUCGGAAUUACUGGGCGUAAAGCGCACGCAGGCGGUUUGUUAAGUCAGAUGUGAAAUCCCCGGGCUCAACCUGGGAACUGCAUCUGAUACUGGCAAGCUUGAGUCUCGUAGAGGGGGGUAGAAUUCCAGGUGUAGCGGUGAAAUGCGUAGAGAUCUGGAGGAAUAACGGUGGCGAAGGCGGCCCCCUGGACGAAGACUGACGCUCAGGUGCGAAAGCGUGGGGAGCAAACAGG
Molecule: ribosomal RNA, 429 nt
Filed under: Chloroflexota bacterium
Lineage: Bacteria; Bacillati; Chloroflexota
Description: Chloroflexi bacterium partial 16S ribosomal RNA
Rfam family: Bacterial small subunit ribosomal RNA
Source: RNAcentral